AUCCAGCUGACGAGUCCCAAGUAGGACGAAACGCGCGUUCUGGUU
Non-coding RNA from Schistosoma curassoni, 45 nucleotides. The record is from Rfam. NCBI's taxonomy places the organism in Eukaryota, Metazoa, Platyhelminthes, Trematoda, Strigeidida, Schistosomatidae.